Molecule: small nucleolar RNA, 127 nt
Organism: Tupaia belangeri (northern tree shrew)
Lineage: Eukaryota; Metazoa; Chordata; Mammalia; Scandentia; Tupaiidae
Source: Ensembl
AUCCUCCAGUUCCCUUUCCCCUCAGAUCUGAACCUGGUCUUAGUGGGCACAAGAGGAGGGAAAGAAACACUGAAGCUGGCCUCUGGUGGUGUAGCCUGGCUGCACCUGGGACUGGUUUCUGACACCA